UAGUCCACGCCGUAAACGAUGAUUACUAAGUGUUCGAGCUUCGGCUUGAGUGCUCAAGCGAAAGCGAUAAGUAAUCCACCUGGGGAGUACGUCGGCAACGAUGAAACUCAAAGGAAUUGACGGGGGCCCGCACAAGCGGUGGAGCAUGUGGUUUAAUUCGAUGAUACGCGAGGAACCUUACCUGGGCUACAAUGCCUCUGCCAGCCGGAGUUCCUUCGGGACGCGAAACAAGGUGCUGCAUGGUUGUCGUCAGCUCGUGCCGUGAGGUGUUGGGUUAAGUCCCGCGACGAGCGCAACCCCUAUUCUUAGUUACCAGCACGUUAAGGUGGGGACUCUAAGAAAACUGCCGGCGCAAGCCGCGAGGAAGGUGGGGACGACGUCAAGUCAUCACGGCCCUUACGUCCUGGGCCACACACGUGCUACAAUGGCGAGUACAGAGGGCAGCUACCAUGUGAAUGGAUGCCAAUCUCAAAAACUCGUCUCAGUUCGGAUCGAAGUCUGCAACUCGACUUCG
This 514-nucleotide ribosomal RNA is filed under the name uncultured bacterium. Its description in RNAcentral is "bacterial SSU rRNA". It matches the Rfam family "Bacterial small subunit ribosomal RNA", at positions 791 to 1320 of the family's 1533-position model. The record is from RNAcentral.